CCAAUUCCUCCCUCCUAGAGUUAUCGUGACGGCACCUAGUCUCUACAAUUAGGUAUGCCUAACACUUUGCAGAAAUGAAAUAAAAGCUUGAACAUAAACCACUAACAAUGGCAAAUAUCUAAUAAACAACUGAAUGUCACUCGGCAUGUACGAAUAUCACCUUUGAAAUGCCCCAAACCAUUCCCAUAACCCGGAAUACCACAAGUCACAAACUACUAAGAAAUCUUAACUGUUAUAUAUAUCUUUUAUACAGAAAGAGGAAAACAUGAAUAGAGGAGGAUAGAGGGGGACUCUGAGGAUCUGCGGGUAGAUGUACCUUGAAGUCUCGAUAAGCAGCAUCGACUGCAACUAAUCAUGAGGCCGGUACAAUUAAUCUGGAUUUGCACAUGAAAAACAUGUGCAGGAAAGGGCACGAGUACUCCACAAUGGUACCCAGUAAGUACAUAGCCUAACCUCAGUCGAGUAGUGACAAGGUCAGUACAGGGCCCUAAUGGUAUAUAUACAAUAAAAUUUAAUAGAAAGAAAUACCGCAGUAAGAAUAAAUACUAAAAUAUAACCACGAUAUAAGCAUAGAAGAACAACAUCUCAGAAACAUAAGGGUAACAACAGGGGAUCUCCCAGGAUACUGUCCCGUAGUCCCAAACGUAAAUGUUUAGGGGGAUCUCCCGGAAUACUGUUCCAUAGUCCCAAAGUAAAUAUGCAGUGGGGAUCUCCCAGAAUAUCGUUCUGUAGUCCCAAAGUAAAUAUGCAGUACAUGGGGAUCUCUAUGAAUACCGUUCUGUAGUCUCAAAGUAAAUAUGCAGCUCAACCAGUAGAAAUAACAGUUACAGCAAGAAAACCUACAGUUUAGUCUAAGUUCAAGGCAAAGAAAACAGGUAAUUUCACUAAACAUGCUGCACAAAAUUCAAAUAGGCAGUUAAAACACGUAGGCAUGCUUUUCUAACUGAAACAGGAUAGUUACAUAUGCUAGUGUAGUUCAAAUAAGGAGAAACAAGUUAUGACUUAGUGAAAAACAGGGUUUUACAACAAAUAGCUCGUGUACGUACUCGUCACCUCACGUACACGACGCUCACAUAUCAAAAUUGUUCCAAAUCCUAAGGGGAGUUCCCCCACACAAGGUUAGGUAAGCCACUUACCUCGAACCAAGCUCAAAUCAAUCCGUCACAAUGCUCUUUCCAUGAAUAUCCAGCUCCGGAUGGCCCAAAUCUAGCCAAAUCAAUUACAUAACAUAAAUAUAGCUACAAAAAACUAAUCUAACUAAUGAAAUCGAAGAUAAGGCAAGAAAUUAGAAAAAAUACCCAAAAAGCCUCCCUGGGCCCACAUAUCAAAAUCGGGUAAAAGUUAUAAAUUAUGAAAAUCCAAUCACUCACGAGUUCAUUCGUACCAAAAUUAUUCAAAUCCAACGUUGAAAUCCCAAUCAAAACUCGAAAUCUUAGUUGAAGAACUUCUUUCCAUUCUUUCCAAUUUUCCACACCAAAUCCAAAAUUAAAUGAUAAAAUUAAUGAUAGACUAGUGGGAUAUAACAUAAACCAAGUUAAGAAUCAUUACUCAAUUGAUAUCUCUGAAAAUCCCUUAAAAUUUCGUCCAAAUCCGAUCUCCCAAACUCAAGUUUUGAUAAAAAUGGCUAACCCUCGUUUUUGAAAUGUUUAUACUGUCUGCCCAGAUUUCUUCUUCGCGAACGCGGCCUCACUCUCGCGUUCACGUAGGGAAAAACUUUACUGGUCAAAAAUCCUCUUACAUGAACACGAGGGUCCUCUCACGAAAGCGUACUUUCUGAUUCCUGAAGCUUCGCGAACGCGAUCUCUGCUACGUGAAUGCAUAGAACAUUCCAUUGGGGUCCUAGCUGAUCCAUUUCUUAUACACGGACAUGAUGUCCUUCACGCGUUCGCGAUACAAUGAUGGCCAAACCUUCGCGAAUGCGAAUAGAAAUUUCCCCUCCUGCCCCAGCUCUACUUCGUGAAUGCGAGCUCCUUUCCACAAAUGCGAAGAACAAACUUCUACAACAAAAACCAGAAAAAAACCGCUAUCUCUGCAAAGUCACAAAUGACCCGUUAACCACCCGAAACUCACACAAGGCCCCCGGAACCUCAACCAAAUAUACCAACCAAUCCUAAAACACCAUACGAACUUAGUCGAGCCCUCAAAACACAUUUGUAGCAAAACUCUAACACGAUGACUCAUAGACUCGGCUGCACUCCGAAUGAGGUGGAGUCUCACCGAUCCUUCCCUGAAUGUCAAUCUCGUUUACUAUGAAGGCUCGUCAAACCGAUCAUCUAUAACUGCAGGCAUGAAUGCAACGUCCCCCAACAAAAGGACGUCAAUACGAAUAAUGUAUUGAGUAUGUAAGGCACAUAAAUAAGUACAUAAAAGACAUGGAAGAAAUAUAGAGUAAAUGAUUCAACCUGUAAGUCUGGAUAACUCCGUAAAUCAUAAAAUAAUUAUAGUGUCAUGCAUAUGUGUAUGAAUGGCAUGUCAUGCAUAUGUACAUGUUUCAUAACAUCAUCAGGACUCUGAGGGCAUCCCAUCAUAUCAUCUCUACCACUGUGGGAAAAAUCAUCAAUGUAUACCAGUUGAUCAGGUGGUGGUGCGUAUAUAACGCCGUAACCUUUUCUCAUAUCUCAUAUACAUAUAUAUACAUAUAUACGCGUAUAUAACGCCGUGUGAGUCAUAUUUCAGCUAUUGUGGGCAACAUCAUCAUCGUAUACCAGCUGAUUAGGUGGUGGUGCGUAUAUAACGUCGUAAUCUUUCCCCUUAUUCCAUAUCCCAUAUACAUAUGUAUAUAUAUAUAUAUAUAUAUACAUACGCGUAUAUAACACCAUCUGUUCAUGGGUCAAUGUGCAUGCAUAAAUGCAUGAAAUGCAUAUGAAAUACGUUAAUAAAAUCUCUUGGUACGUCAUAAGACCAUUAUGCAUCUAAUUAAUAUCAUGAAAUAAACUUUAUCAACUUACAUAUUUUCUGAGACCCAUGAACAAAUGAUAGAAUAAUAAGACAUAUGGGAGUUAAGAACAUAGACAUUUCUAAUACUUCUACGAAUAGAGUCAUUUAUGGAAGUAAUGCAUUUAUUCGUUUCAUUUGUAUCGUACGGAUCAUGCCAAAAAAAGAAGGAAGGGAUAGCCUUAAUAUACCUGAGCGGAUUCUCGAGCACUCAAAAAGUAUCAGAAAAGGUGGCUAUAGACUUUAUAUUAUAUGUGAUUUUGUGCCGUGCACAUGUUUUGUAAAUACAAUCUUUGAACAUCUCUGAAAUGCUAGUCGUAUGAACUUGGCAUUGGCAGAAUAGAGCCUUUUUAUUGUAUUAUCAAGCUUAGCACUAAAACCAACUUUUGCCCCAUAGUAAACACUUCUUUAAGAUCCCAAAUUAUUGCCUUCUCAAAUCUCCAUUUAUGAACAACUAUUACUACUUUUGCUCUACUAUUGAAUCUAGUGUUGAAACACCUCACUAAUCCAAGAGUACUUCGUUCUCACUCCCUACCUUCUUCUAUCCUAAAGAAGAAUUGAAUUAGUUGAUGAAUAGGUUUUAAA
Molecule: long non-coding RNA, 3519 nt
Filed under: Nicotiana tabacum (common tobacco)
Lineage: Eukaryota; Viridiplantae; Streptophyta; Magnoliopsida; Solanales; Solanaceae
Description: long non-coding RNA (NTAB_LNC007241)
Source: RNAcentral